AAUGGCUCAUUAUAUAAGUUAUCGUUUAUUUGAUAGUAUCUUGCUACUUGGAUAACCGUGGUAAUUCUAGAGCUAAUACAUGCUAAAAAUCCCGACUUCGGAAGGGAUGUAUUUAUUAGAUUAAAAACCAAUGCCCUCUGGGCUCUCUUGGUGAAUCAUGAUAACUUCUCGAAUCGCAGGGCCUUGCGCCGGCGAUGGUUCAUUCAAAUUUCUUCCCUAUCAACUUUCGAUGUUUGGGUAGUGGCCAAACAUGGUUGCAACGGGUAACGGAGGGUUAGGGCUCGACCCCGGAGAAGGAGCCUGAGAAACGGCUACUACAUCCAAGGAAGGCAGCAGGCGCGCAAAUUACCCAAUCCCGAUCCGGGGAGGUAGUGACAAUAAAUACUGAUACAGGGCUCUUUUGGGUCUUGUAAUUGGAAUGAGUACAAUUUAAAUCCCUUAACGAGGAACAAUUGGAGGGCAAGUCUGGUGCCAGCAGCCGCGGUAAUUCCAGCUCCAAUAGCGUAUAUUAAAGUUGUUGUGGUUAAAAAGCUCGUAGUUGAACCUUGGGCCUGGCUGGCCGGUCCGCCUCACCGCGUGCACUGGUCCGGCCGGGCCUUUCCCUCUGUGGAACCCCAUGCCCUUCACUGGGUGUGGCGGGGAAACAGGACUUUUACUUUGAAAAAAUUAGAGUGCUCCAGGCAGGCCUAUGCUCGAAUACAUUAGCAUGGAAUAAUGAAAUAGGACGUGCGGUUCUAUUUUGUUGGUUUCUAGGACCGCCGUAAUGAUUAAUAGGGACAGUCGGGGGCAUCAGUAUUCAAUUGUCAGAGGUGAAAUUCUUGGAUUUAUUGAAGACUAACUACUGCGAAAGCAUUUGCCAAGGAUGUUUUCAUUAAUCAGGAACGAAAGUUAGGGGAUCGAAGACGAUCAGAUACCGUCGUAGUCUUAACCAUAAACUAUGCCGACUAGGGAUCGGACGAUGUUAUUUUUUGACUCGUUCGGCACCUUACGAGAAAUCAAAGUGCUUGGGCUCCAGGGGGAGUAUGGUCGCAAGGCUGAAACUUAAAGAAAUUGACGGAAGGGCACCACCAGGGGUAAACCUGACCUGUGAAGCCGCAGUCAACUCUGCUCCAGAAAGCCGCCCGAAAGGGUCGGUGGUGUUCCUAGGGGAGAGCUCUCCCCUAAACUAAUGGCUAGUCCUGCCGCCCGCGGCAGGGCGACACCCUCAAACUGACGGGGAACUCCUAAAGCCCUCGCUCCGGACAGGCGUCGGGAAACCGACGGCCUGCUCACCAGGCUAACGACCUCGGGUAUCGGAAGCAACGCGAGAGGAUGCUACAAUGGACAAUCCGCAGCCAAGCCCCUACGGUGCGGCCUCUACGGGGGUCGCAUACGGGGAAGGUUCAGAGACUUGACGGGGGUGGGUGGCGCGGGCUCUUGGGGUGCAAGCCGCGUGCUUGCUUGCAGGCCCAGGCGCCCGCCGCUGCCUAAGAUAAAGUCCGGGCGUGCGCGAAAGCGUGCGCGGCAACCACGCAACCCGCCGUUUCCAGCGGGUGCGAGGCCCCAGAAGUAAAAACAACCGGGAGCCUGCGGCUUAAUUUGACUCAACACGGGGAAACUCACCAGGUCCAGACACAAUGAGGAUUGACAGAUUGAGAGCUCUUUCUUGAUUUUGUGGGUGGUGGUGCAUGGCCGUUCUUAGUUGGUGGAGUGAUUUGUCUGCUUAAUUGCGAUAACGAACGAGACCUUAACCUGCUAAAUAGCCCGUAUUGCUUUGGCAGUACGCCGGCUCUUAGA
Molecule: ribosomal RNA, 1776 nt
Filed under: Ustilaginoidea virens
Lineage: Eukaryota; Fungi; Ascomycota; Sordariomycetes; Hypocreales; Clavicipitaceae
Description: bacterial SSU rRNA
Rfam family: Eukaryotic small subunit ribosomal RNA
Source: RNAcentral